GUUCAUUACUUCUACACUCACCUCGGGGUAUAGAGAUCUAUAUUUCACAAGAUAUACAAAUACAAUAUCAUAUUAAAAUUCGAGAUCCUUGGGGAAAAAAAAUUAUAUGAUUUGACCAACUUGGUCAAUGCUCAAUGCAGUACUUUAAAAGAUGCCUAAAAUAGUUCAACCGUUUUCAUUGAUAAUUGUAAAAUGUGUCAAAUUUAGUUUGAAUCUACCUAUUCCGAGGGUUGAUACAUUGUGUUUAUUAGUAAAAUCAACAGAAGCACAAAAUGAACAACAUUAAAGGUAACAUAAUUUUUUUUUAAAUAUUGAUUUUAUUAUUAUAUCCCCCAUAUAUUUUUGUCCAAAUUUGAUAUAAACUUUCCCACAGCUUUUGAUCGAGUUUAAUUCUUUAUAGUUUUAUCCUAUCCAUUUCCUACCAACUACAUAUUUGCACAACAAUAAUUGAUUAUAAAAAAACUACAUAAGAGGGUUAUGUAAUCUGAA
This 489-nucleotide long non-coding RNA is filed under the name Mytilus galloprovincialis (Mediterranean mussel). The record is from RNAcentral. Lineage: Eukaryota; Metazoa; Mollusca; Bivalvia; Mytilida; Mytilidae.